AGUUUCUUGAAAUCCUGCCCACUUCUUUGCAUUGUGUUGUCAUGCUUCAGUGAUGUGUGAGUGUUUAUAGUGCUGUGAGUUUAACACUUCAUGACUGAGAUCAGAACAGAACAGAAUCUUCAUCAUCACACAAACCAAAAGAACAACAAUGACUUUCAUCAUCAUCUUCAUCUGGACACUUUCAGUUUUUAUUCUGGAAUCAAGAGGAGUAACUCUGACUCAACCUAAAGAAAAAAGUGUUCAACAAGGACAAACAGCUACAAUAGAGUGUCAUAUAGAUGUAGGAAUAUAUAGCAGCCACUUAUACUGGUACUUACAGAGACCUGGAGAAACUCCUAAACUCCUCAUAAAAUACAUAAAUAACCUUCAGUCAGGAACUCCAUCAAGAUUCAGUGGCAGUGGAACAGUAAACACUGGAAAAGAUUUCACUUUGACCAUCAGUGGAGUUCAGACUGAAGAUUCAGGAGAUUAUUACUGUCAGAGUUAUCACAGUAGUGGUGAUGUGUUGACACAGUGAUAAAGAGUGAUACAAAAACCUCUUUCAGUCAGACUGCACAGUGACUGCACUCAUACACCUGACAGAUACUGCAGAUGAUGAUGCUGAUAGUUUAUUUAACUUACAGCUCAUUUAUUUCCUACUAUAGUUUAUUUAAAUGACAACUUUAUAGAUAAUGAUACAUUUAAUUAAUUAAUUAUUUAUUUAUUUUAUUCUUUGAUAGUUGUAAAUCAUAUCAUUAAUUUAUUGUCUAUCUAUUAAUUUCUGCUGUGUUAUAACAACCUCAACAUUGAUGAUUUUUAUUAUUAUUGUACU
This is a non-coding RNA of Misgurnus anguillicaudatus (oriental weatherfish), 811 nucleotides long. Lineage: Eukaryota; Metazoa; Chordata; Actinopteri; Cypriniformes; Cobitidae. The record is from the annotation of a RefSeq genome assembly.